UACGAAGGGGACUAGCGUUGUUCGUAAUUGCUGGGCGUAAAGAGCAAGCAGGUGGAUUUGUAAGUCAGGGGUGAAAUCCCGGGGCUCAACCUCGUAAUUGCCUUUGAUACUGUCUAUCUUGAGUCCGGGAGAGGUGAGUUGAAUUCCUAGUGUAGAGGUGAAAUUCGUAGAUAUUAGGAAGAACACCAGUGGCGAAGGCGGCUCACUGGCCCGGUGCUGAAGCUCAUGUGCGAAAGCGUUGGGAGCAAACAGG
This 253-nucleotide ribosomal RNA is filed under the name uncultured bacterium. RNAcentral describes it as "partial 16S ribosomal RNA". It matches the Rfam family "Bacterial small subunit ribosomal RNA", at positions 524 to 776 of the family's 1533-position model. The record is from RNAcentral.